GCCCACUGUCACGUUCACUGGG
This 22-nucleotide microRNA is filed under the name Ixodes scapularis (black-legged tick). RNAcentral describes it as "Isc-Mir-2001_3p* (star (passenger))". Lineage: Eukaryota; Metazoa; Arthropoda; Arachnida; Ixodida; Ixodidae. The record is from RNAcentral.